AACGCACAUUGCGCCUCUUGGUAUUCCUAGAGGCAUGCCUGUUCGAGCGUCAUUAAAAGCCAUCAAGCGAGCUUGCCUCGCUUGGUCCUGGGGGAUGGGGCCACCCUUCGGGGAGGCGCCACCCUCGAAAUCCAACGGCGGACAACCACCAGUGGAACUGCAGCGUAGUAAUUCAUUCUUUCGCCAGCGGCCACGGAGGGACUGUCCCGCCGGUCAAACCCCCACAUCUUCAAUGGUUGACCUCGGAUCAGGUAGGGAUACCCGCUGAACUUAA
RNAcentral lists this unclassified non-coding RNA (274 nucleotides) under uncultured Ascomycota. RNAcentral's name for it is "sequence contains ITS2". Lineage: Eukaryota; Fungi; Ascomycota. The record is from RNAcentral.